UACAGAGGGUGCAAGCGUUGUUCGGAAUUACUGGGCGUAAAGCGUGCGUAGGCGGUAUUGAGAGUCAUGGGUGAAAUCCCCAAGCUUAACUUGGGAACUGCCUGUGAGACCUCAGUACUAGAGUGUGAGAGAGGAUUGUGGAAUUCCUGGUGUAGCGGUGAAAUGCGUAGAGAUCAGGAGGAACACCGGUGGCGAAGGCGACAAUCUGGCUCAUAACUGACGCUCAGGCACGAAAGCGUGGUAGCAAACAGG
This 252-nucleotide ribosomal RNA is filed under the name uncultured bacterium. RNAcentral describes it as "partial 16S ribosomal RNA". It matches the Rfam family "Bacterial small subunit ribosomal RNA", at positions 524 to 776 of the family's 1533-position model. The record is from RNAcentral.